CCUUCGGGCGGCGGCUCGGCGAACGCGGCAAUGUUGUCGUCGGCCGACCCCUCCGUCCACACCAACUACAGCGCCGGGAGCCCGAGACUGAAAGCGUGCCUGUCCGACAUGAGCGUGGGCAACUCGCGCUUCUUCACGUACCAAGAAAUGUACCAGAUCACCGACGGCUUCUCGCCGCGCAAUUUGCUCGGCCAAGGAGGGUUCGGGUCGGUGUACAAGGGCCGGCUGCCCGAAGGGAAAGACGUGGCUGUCAAGCAGCUGAGGGAUGGCAGUGGGCAAGGGGAGCGCGAGUUCCAAGCCGAGGUGGAGAUAAUCAGUCGGGUGCAUCACCGGCAUUUGGUGUCUCUCGUGGGGUACUGCAUUGACAAUAGCCAAAGGCUGCUCGUCUACGAUUUCGUGUCGAAUGACACCCUGCAUUAUCAUCUCCACGGACAGGGAAGGCCUGUUUUAGAGUGGUCGGCUAGGGUUAAAAUUGCUGCCGGUGCUGCUCGUGGAAUAGCAUACCUGCAUGAAGAUUGCCAUCCAAGGAUAAUCCACCGAGACAUCAAAUCCUCAAACAUUUUGUUGGAUAAUAACUUUGACGCACUGGUGGCCGAUUUUGGUCUUGCAAGACUGGCUUUGGAUGCUGUAACACAUGUAACUACACGGGUUAUGGGGACAUUUGGAUACAUGGCUCCAGAGUAUGCAUCGAGUGGCAAAUUGACUGAGAAAUCUGAUGUGUUCUCUUUUGGUGUUGUACUUUUAGAGCUUAUGACUGGUCGAAAGCCUGUUGAUUCAUCCAGACCAUUGGGUGAUGAGAGCCUUGUUGAGUGGGCUAGACCAUUGCUUAGUCGAGCUCUUGAGACGGGAAAGCUGGAAGGGUUAGUCGACCCCAGGCUUGAGAGGAAUUUCAAUGAGGUCGAAAUGUUCCGUAUGAUUGAGUCUGCAGCAGCCUGCAUUCGACACUCGUCAUCAAAGAGGCCCAGAAUGAGCCAGGUGGUGCGGGUCCUCGAUAGCUUAGCGGAUAUUGACCUAACAAACGGUGUCCAGCCAGGGCAAAGCGAGCUCUUCAACGUGGCAAACACCGCGGAUAUCAGGAUGUUCCAGCAGAUGGUGCAGGGCAACCAGGACGACAGUUCCGCCUUCAGCCAAUAUAGCUGGAUCAGUCGCAGUAGGGCCGACGCCGAAGCGACCUCCUCAAACUCCCGGAUCUUGUGA
Molecule: ribosomal RNA, 1197 nt
Filed under: Triticum aestivum (bread wheat)
Lineage: Eukaryota; Viridiplantae; Streptophyta; Magnoliopsida; Poales; Poaceae
Description: partial small subunit ribosomal RNA
Source: RNAcentral